This is a long non-coding RNA of Cydia strobilella, 526 nucleotides long. RefSeq lists it as uncharacterized. The record is from RefSeq and is a predicted model, not a curated record. Lineage: Eukaryota; Metazoa; Arthropoda; Insecta; Lepidoptera; Tortricidae. The transcript has 3 exons.
UUGUCUUAGUUGUAGGUUUAUUAGUCGUUGUUGUGGUAGUAGUGGCAGUUGUCUUAGUUGUAGGUUUGUUAGGCGUUGUAGUGGUAGGAGUGAUGAUUGUCUUAGUUGUAGGUUUGGUAGUCGUUGUAGUGGUAGGAGUGGUGAUUGUCUUAGUUGUAGGUUUGGUAGUCGUUGUAGUGGUAGGAGUGGUGAUUGUCUUAGUUGUAGGUUUGUUAGUCGUUGUAGUGGCAGGAGUGGUGAUUGUCUUAGUUGUAGGUUUGUUAGUCGUUGUAGUGGUAGGAGUGGUGAUUGUCUUAGUUGUAGGUUUGUUAGUCGUUAUAGUGGUAGGAGUGGUGAUUGUCUUAGUUGUAGGUUUGUUAGUCGUUGUAGUGGUAGGAGUGGUGAUUGUCUUAGUUGUAGGUUUGGUAGUCGUUGUAGUGGUAGGAGUGGUGAUUGUCUUAGUUGUAGUGAUAGGAGUGGUGAUUGUCUUAGUUGUAGGUUUGUUAGUCGUUGUAGUGGUAGGAGUGGUGAUUGUCUUAGUUGUAGG